UCCCAGGUGUCUCAGUGAUACAGAAUCUGCCUGCAGUGCAGGAGAUGCAGGUUCGAUCCCUGGGUUGGGAA
RNAcentral lists this transfer RNA (71 nucleotides) under Ovis aries (sheep). It matches the Rfam family "tRNA". Rfam says of the family: Transfer RNA (tRNA) molecules are approximately 80 nucleotides in length. Their secondary structure includes four short double-helical elements and three loops (D, anti-codon, and T loops). Further hydrogen bonds mediate the characteristic L-shaped molecular structure. tRNAs have two regions of fundamental functional importance: the anti-codon, which is responsible for specific mRNA codon recognition, and the 3' end, to which the tRNAs corresponding amino acid is attached (by aminoacyl-tRNA synthetases). tRNAs cope with the degeneracy of the genetic code in two manners: having more than one tRNA (with a specific anti-codon) for a particular amino acid; and 'wobble' base-pairing, i.e. permitting non-standard base-pairing at the 3rd anti-codon position. Lineage: Eukaryota; Metazoa; Chordata; Mammalia; Artiodactyla; Bovidae. The record is from Rfam by way of RNAcentral.